GGCUUUUUGAUAAUAAUUUAAGGUCAGACCUGCCCAAUGAUGGAGCAUUAAAUGGCCGCGGUAUAUUGACCGUGCAAAGGUAGCAUAAUCAUUAGUUUUUUAAUUGAAAGCUUGUAUGAAGGGUUUAAUGAAAAGAUAGCUGUCUCUAUUUGAAUUUUAUAGAAAUUUAUUUUUAAGUUAAAAGGCUUAAAUAUAUACUAAAGACGAGAAGACCCUAUAGAGUUUUAUAAUUUUCUGUAAUUGUUAUAUUUUGGGAUUUUAGAAUAAUUUUUUGGAAUUAUUUGGUUGGGGUGACUUGAAAACUAAGAAAACUUUUUAAUGAAUAUUUCAUUGAUUUGUGAAUUUUUGAUCCUUGUUUGAGAUUAAGAGAAGAAAUUACCUUAGGGAUAACAGCGUAAUUUUUUUUAGAGUUCUUAUCGAAAAAAAAGAUUGCGACCUCGAUGUUGGAUUAAAAUUAAUUAUUGGUGGAGAAGCUAAUAGGUUAAGGUCUGUUCGACCUAUAAAUUUUUACAUGAUCUGAGUUUAAACCGGUGUGAG
Molecule: ribosomal RNA, 537 nt
Filed under: Echinodera settefratelliensis
Lineage: Eukaryota; Metazoa; Arthropoda; Insecta; Coleoptera; Curculionidae
Description: partial 16S ribosomal RNA
Rfam family: Bacterial large subunit ribosomal RNA
Source: RNAcentral